UGAAUUGUUUGUACAAUCGUA
RNAcentral lists this non-coding RNA (21 nucleotides) under Caenorhabditis elegans. Lineage: Eukaryota; Metazoa; Nematoda; Chromadorea; Rhabditida; Rhabditidae. The record is from RNAcentral.